UACGUAGGCAGCGAGCGUUGUUCGGAAUUACUGGGCGUAAAGAGUGUGUAGGCGGUGCUCCCAGUCUGUUGUGAAAUCUCCCGGCUUAACUGGGAGGGUGCAGCGGAAACUAGAGUGCUAGAGGGUGGGAGAGGUAAGCGGAAUUCCUGGUGUAGCGGUGAAAUGCGUAGAUAUCAGGAGGAACACCUGUGGUGUAGACAGCUUACUGGACCACUUCUGACGCUGAGACACGGAAGCGUGGGUAGCAAACAGG
RNAcentral lists this ribosomal RNA (253 nucleotides) under uncultured bacterium. RNAcentral's name for it is "partial 16S ribosomal RNA". It matches the Rfam family "Bacterial small subunit ribosomal RNA", at positions 524 to 776 of the family's 1533-position model. The record is from RNAcentral.